Molecule: ribosomal RNA, 166 nt
Filed under: uncultured bacterium
Lineage: Bacteria
Description: partial 16S rRNA
Rfam family: Bacterial small subunit ribosomal RNA
Source: RNAcentral
UAGGGAAUCUUCCACAAUGGGCGAAAGACCUGAUGGAGGCAACGCCGCGUGUGUGAUGAAGGGUUUCGGCUCGUAAACAACUGUUGUAAGAGAAGAAUGACAUUGAGAGUAACUGUUCAAUAUGUGACGGUAUCUUACCAGAAAGGAACGGCUAAAUACGUGCCAG